AGAGUUUGAUCCCUGGCUCAGGACGAACGCUGGCGGCGUGCUUAACACAUGCAAGUCGAGCGGUAAGGCCUUUCGGGGUACACGAGCGGCGAACGGGUGAGUAACACGUGGGUGAUCUGCCCUGCACUCUGGGAUAAGCUUGGGAAACUGGGUCUAAUACCGGAUAUGACCGCAUCCCGCAUGGUGUGUGGUGGAAAGAUUUAUCGGUGCAGGAUGGGCCCGCGGCCUAUCAGCUUGUUGGUGGGGUAAUGGCCUACCAAGGCGACGACGGGUAGCCGACCUGAGAGGGUGACCGGCCACACUGGGACUGAGACACGGCCCAGACUCCUACGGGAGGCAGCAGUGGGGAAUAUUGCACAAUGGGCGGAAGCCUGAUGCAGCGACGCCGCGUGAGGGAUGAAGGCCUUCGGGUUGUAAACCUCUUUCAGCAGGGACGAAGCGUGAGUGACGGUACCUGCAGAAGAAGCACCGGCUAACUAC
Molecule: ribosomal RNA, 480 nt
Filed under: Rhodococcus sp. iRV8
Lineage: Bacteria; Bacillati; Actinomycetota; Actinomycetes; Mycobacteriales; Nocardiaceae
Description: bacterial SSU rRNA
Rfam family: Bacterial small subunit ribosomal RNA
Source: RNAcentral